Molecule: ribosomal RNA, 253 nt
Filed under: uncultured bacterium
Lineage: Bacteria
Description: partial 16S ribosomal RNA
Rfam family: Bacterial small subunit ribosomal RNA
Source: RNAcentral
GACGUAGGGGGCAAGCGUUGUCCGGAAUUAUUGGGCGUAAAGGGCUCGUAGGCGGUCUGUCGCGUCGGGAGUGAAAACUCAGGGCUUAACCCUGAGCCUGCUUCCGAUACGGGCAGACUAGAGGUAUGCAGGGGAGAACGGAAUUCCUGGUGUAGCGGUGAAAUGCGCAGAUAUCAGGAGGAACACCGGUGGCGAAGGCGGUUCUCUGGGCAUUACCUGACGCUGAGGAGCGAAAGUGUGGGGAGCGAACAGG